This is a long non-coding RNA of Oreochromis aureus, 2508 nucleotides long. The record is from Ensembl. NCBI's taxonomy places the organism in Eukaryota, Metazoa, Chordata, Actinopteri, Cichliformes, Cichlidae.
GAGGACUCACACACACACUCACAAAGAGGGCUGUUUUCCCCUCGCCAAUAGUAGGCUGGACAUUGUCAAAGCCAAACCACCAAUCACAGUGCGCUUCUGGACACCCUUCUCCUCCCACUGCUAUAUAAAAAAGGGGGCUCCAGCUGGUGGACACGCAGCUGACAGCGCAACGAUUUUCUUAACACAGCAGCUGGAAUAAUUACAAUACGUUCAUUUUUAUUUUUUGCUAUAUUCUGACUGGAUAUUAAUAAUUUCCUUUUAUAUAUCUAAUAUGGCAGACAGCCAGGUGGAAAGCAGCGGAGAACUGAGCACCAAGGUAAGGACAAUAGAAGGAGACAGGGCACGAUGCUUUUUCUAACUCUUGCUUCCAUUUAUAACUGUAACCUGUUACUAAUGUUUCUAUUUUAAGCACGGUGCGUAUGAAAAAGAAGACUACCAGUUUUCUAGAUGAUAUUCUUUAUGAUCUGCUUGUAUGCACGAAAUUCUAAUAUAAAUCUACACAUUUGUAAUCCAUUGACAUAUGUACUGAAGGAUCCGAGUGGAUGGAUGGAGAAUAAAGACAGGCUGAUUAAGGUGCUAGUUUUGGCACAGAGAACAUUUCUAAGCUUCCUCUGCGGGCAGCUUAAUACCGCCUCCCAGUUUCAUUUAGAGUCAGACAUGCAGAGAUUGUAGGAUGCCUGUCUGUCAUUUCACAAACUACAUAUACGGCCGCUGUACUCGUCAAUGCAGGUGUGUGUUCUGUGAGGGCUGUCCCGAUCUGUCGCCAAACUCUCGGAUAGUUGAGGGAACUGAACCGGCUGAGGUGCGCAGAACUGUUACUUUCACUAUUUGGGGAACGUUUAGAAGUCGAAGCAGUGACCGAAAGCAAAUAAAGACCUUCAGGGAUGGAGGUAGGAUAGCAGAGUGGGUUAUCUCCCGCCCAGCACCGAGUGUUUCCAUUCACGACCGUGGGACUGUCACAGAGCCACAUCUAGUCUUGUUAAACUACUGUUCUGGUUUUGGUUUUAACAUAGUAAAUAUCGGCUUCAUUGUUAUUGCUUCUGAUAGUAUUCGUGUAAUCAUUCACAAAACAAAUGGGAGUUCCGCUGCGGUGAAACGGCGUGAACACGCAUGUUUCUAACUGUCCAGCUCUGUGUUCUCUGUAACUCCAGCGACGCGAUCGAGCAAUAAUCUGAGUUUAUGCAUGUGGAGCUCCACCUCACUGCUACUGUGGCCCUCAGCGGAGCUGGGAGCGCGCACGCUCCUGUGUUUCUCACCAGUGUCGUCACGGUGGAGGCAGGCUGCUGUGCCUGUGCGGACCCUCGCGCCUCUCUUCUUCUUUAACCGAGUUUUCUUUAAUGUCUCAGAGUCCUCGCGCCUCGUGCACCCGCUGGUACUGUAGUACUGAGUGAUGCCGAGGGGACGCUGGUGAUUUCCGCUCAGUUUGUUUCUGAGCAGCUCCAUUUCAAACAAAGGCUAACAGCGAGCGACACGGCGCAGGGUGUUCUACAGGAGCUGAAGGAGAAGAAACAGACUGAAGAGACAGAGAAUGGAGAAGACUCUGCUGCCAAUGGCAAAAAUGACAAGGAAAAUGGUGAGGAAGACAAUGAGGUAGAGGAGGAUGAGGAGGAUGUGGGCGACGAAGAGGAGGAGGAUAGAGAAGGUGACGAGGAGGAUGAUGAAGAAGAUGACAUUGAUGGACCGAGGGUGAAGAGAGCAGCUGAUGACGAUGAUGAUGACGAGGAUGAGGUUGAAAGCAAGAAGCAGAAGACAGAUCAGUAGUGUCUGCAGCGCCCACUCUGCACGGAGGACGACACUAUUGAAAGACAGCCAGCAAACCUUCUACACCUCAGUCCUCCUUUCGUAACAAAAAUGUGUUUAAAAAGAAAAUUUGUUUGUAUUUUUAUUUACAUUUUAUAUUUUUGUAAAUAUUGUAAGGAGUUUGGCCAUUUUGCAAAAGUGAUCUGGGUAUACAGUGGUGCUCUGAAGACUUUUAGAUCAACAUCAACCAUCCAUACUCUGUCUCAACCACCAGCCUGUCAUUCCAACAGCACACACACACACACGUACUACAACUACCUUUUUUCUGUUUUUCUAAGACGUAUAGGAUGCUAGAAGUUGUGUGUUGACCUGUAGUUGCAUGGGAGUGUUAAAAUAACUCGGCUCUUUUCCCAGUGCUGGGGAUAUAUUAGUGGUAGUUUCUAUGAGAUUCCAAAGUCGUAGUUUCUCUUGUCCAUGUGUCUCUAUCUGUGUGUCCGUCAUGGCCAGAUUAUAAUUUUUUUUAAAUGUCUGUGCAAUUUGGUUGAAUAAUAAAUUCAUUUGAUUUUGUUUUUAGAUUUGGACUGAUUCUGCUUUAAUUAAAAAAGAAGUUUGGACAACCAGGAAGUCGCAAAACACUCCUUUAGGUUGUACUCAUGACAUGAAAGCUGGUAUAUUAAGUCUUAUUAUUUUGGUAGUUGAUUAAUAAGCCAGGUUGCUGAGCAUUUAAAUUUUUUUUUUCAAAGUAGCUAGCCUCAGUAGUCAGGGAUC